UCUUCAUCAUCACUCGCCAAUCUCCCCCUCCGCAACUUCAUCUCUCUCUCCCUCUCCCUCUCGUUGUUGCUUCAGCCCGAGAGCUCACCGACCGGCCCACAGCAAACGAAGCAGCUUCACGUGUGACGUCCCUUGCGGUUGCCUCGUCUAGCGCGCGUCCACGAAGUCCACCGAAGGAGCUGCCCUCGUCCGUUUCCUCUCAACGCGCGUCUCUCUUGGCCCAAGCGAAGCUGCUCCUCCAUCAAGUGUCUUCUGCCAAGUGUUCCCUUCAGUCAACAGCCGGAAGCACUUAAGCCUUUUUGUUGACCGAACAUCUCAUGUGAAUCUCUCCACCAGCUCAACGCCAGCAAGACCGAAGUCCAUCGUCUUCAUCCAAGUCUCCACGCGUCCCCUGCUGGUCAAACGAAGCUGCCUCUUCUCCCGAUUGUUGACCACCGAAGCUCAUGUAGCUUCAAUCCACCGAAUCCCCAUCGCCAGCUCGCGUCUAAGUCUUCGGUCAAUAGAAAAUGCCCGCAAGAGCCUGUGUUGACUCCAUCGACGAGAGUUCUUCAAACUACGGCUGUCCGCUCCAUCUCUCAGCAACGACGCCAGCUGCAUCUCCACGGACGUCUUCGCCAGCAGCUGCUUCCGUCCAUACGUCAUCAGCUCGCGUGUCUUCGGCCAGUUGAAUCCUCGAAGCCCAGCAGCAAAUCCAGCAACUUUCGAGGACCAUCUGCCAACGAAGCUGAAGCCCGGCAAGCCCGCGCGAGUUUGUAGAAACCCAGCGUCUCAAUCGCCAAUUCCAGCCCAUAGAAUUCCAGCACUUUCGACCCACCAACAGCUUAGUUGAAUUCAACGAUUGGGCCAGCAAUUUCAGUCUUCAAGCCCGCAGGAUUGAGGCCCAAUUUCUGUCCACAAUUCGCAGCUCAAGUUAGUUCAGUCCAGAAAUUCAGCAGGUCCAGCCCAUUCCAGUGCAAGAACAAAUCUCAGAUUUGUUGGGCCAAGCUUAAGGCCCGGUCCAAGUCCGCCGGUGUCGUCGAAAGUCCGAUUUCGGCCGCCGUCGCGUCGCCGUUGCGGUGAUUCGGUCUCCGCUUUUGUCAAGUGAGUUUUACUCACUAAUGCUUUAUUAGUUUGCUAAUUAUGUCUUAGGGUUGGUUAGAUUUAAUUACAUGCACUUAGGUGGUUAGAUUAGGUUAGAACAAGUAAUUUAGUGACUUAAUGAUGCAUGUUAGGUGGUUAGACCUAGUUAUUAGCAAGUACAAAUGUUUGGUUAUUUAUUGAAUGCAUCUCGGGAUUUUUCCCGACCCGUUUCGGGCUCCAAUAAGGCAAUAUGGGCCUAAAUUGGAUUUUUAAUGUUUAUUUAUUUAUUUUCGAAAUUUAUUUAUUUAAUUAAUUAUUUUUUCGGAAAUUCAACCGGGAUGGCCGGUGACCGGAAUUUCGUGCUGAUUGUCGUGGUGUAGCCCGUUUAUUUAUUUGAGCUCUACAUUGUGUGGAAUUGAGUUAAUUGUGAAAUUUGAGGAUUUGUCCUAAAUUGUUUGUUAUUGAAUAUUUGAUUGGUAAUGGCCAAGCAUGGGUAUAUAGCGCCAGUACGUCGAUGGGCUAUAUAGUAGGGAGAGCGGUGAGAGCUAACUGAGAAUGUUAUUGGCUGAGACCAAUCAGGUACGAUAUUAUUAGACAUACGUGGUUCGGUGAUUGGGAGUAUCACUGGCGAAAACGGCGCCUUAAAGAACGCACGUAAAUGACUUAUAGACAAACGUGGUUCGGUGGUUAUGGGAAUAUCACUGGUGAAAACGGCGCCUUAAAGAACUCACGAUGUUGUCUAUAGCUGAUGUCACCUUGGCGAAAACGGCGCCCUUGAAAGGACACGUGGUUCGGUGAUCAAGGUUAUCACUGGUGAAAACGGCGCCUUAAAGAACGCACAGUGUCGGUGAUCGGUAUGUCAUUGGCGAAAACGACGCCCGAGAAACACAUGUGAUUUGGUGACUGAGUACACCACUGGGAAAUCGUGGUAUGAGUGGGAAUGACCUAGAAAGGGUCUGGCUGACAUGUAAUCGACUUAGUCGAUUGACCAGUGCUUGAUCGGAUGUCGUGAAUUGUUUGAAUAUCUAUGUUUAACCUUGAAUUGCAGGUUGGAACUGAGGCCAAGGUAUGUCCUCUGACUCGUGUUGUGCUUAGGCAACCGUAUGGCGUAUUAGUUUACUAAUCGAGUCGUAGGGGGUAGGACUCACUGAGACGUGGUCUCAUUGGUUAUUGAAUAACCAUUUCAGGACCCUAAGGAAAAGCUGAGGAGGAAGAACCUGAAGGGGAGAAAG
This 2291-nucleotide long non-coding RNA is filed under the name Eucalyptus grandis. RNAcentral's name for it is "long non-coding RNA (EGRA_LNC006126)". The record is from RNAcentral. Lineage: Eukaryota; Viridiplantae; Streptophyta; Magnoliopsida; Myrtales; Myrtaceae.